CCCGCACAAGCAGCGGAGCGUGUGGUUUAAUUCGAUGAUACACGAAGAACCUUACCCAGGCUUGACAUGUUGGUGGUAGGGAUCCGAAAGGUGACCGACCCUUCGGGGAGCCUUCACAGGUGCUGCAUGGCUGUCGUCAGCUCGUGUCGUGAGAUGUCCGGUUAAGUCCGGUAACGAGCGCAACCCUCGCUGUGUGUUAUAUGUGUCACACGGGACUGCCGGUAUCAAGCCGGAGGAAGGUGGGAUGACGUCAAGUCAGCAUGGCCUUUAUGUCUGGGGCUACACACACGCUACAAUGGCCAGUACAAUAGGUUGCAAGACCGCGAGGUGGAGCCAAUCCUUAAAGCUGGUCUCAGUUCGGAUUGCAGGCUGCAACUCGCCUGCAUGAAGUCGGAGUUGCUAGUAACCGCGCGUCAGCCAUAGUGCGGUGAAUACGUUCCCGGGCCUU
This 448-nucleotide ribosomal RNA is filed under the name uncultured Anaerolineaceae bacterium. RNAcentral's name for it is "bacterial SSU rRNA". It matches the Rfam family "Bacterial small subunit ribosomal RNA", at positions 920 to 1382 of the family's 1533-position model. Lineage: Bacteria; Bacillati; Chloroflexota; Anaerolineae; Anaerolineales; Anaerolineaceae. The record is from RNAcentral.